This 378-nucleotide ribosomal RNA is filed under the name uncultured bacterium. RNAcentral's name for it is "bacterial SSU rRNA". It matches the Rfam family "Bacterial small subunit ribosomal RNA", at positions 28 to 388 of the family's 1533-position model. The record is from RNAcentral.
GAUGAACGCUGGCGGCGUGCUUAACACAUGCAAGUCGAACGAAGCACUUUAAAACAAUCUUUCGGGUGCGUUUUAUUGUGACUUAGUGGCGGACGGGUGAGUAACGCGUGGGUAACCUGCCUCAUGCAGGGGGAUAACAGUUAGAAAUGACUGCUAAUACCGCAUAAGCGCACAGUACCGCAUGGUACAGUGUGAAAAGAUUUAUCAGCAUGAGAUGGACCCGCGUCUGAUUAGCUAGUUGGUGAGGUAACGGCUCACCAAGGCGACGAUCAGUAGCCGACUUGAGAGAGUGAUCGGCCACAUUGGGACUGAGACACGGCCCAAACUCCUACGGGAGGCAGCAGUGGGGAAUAUUGCACAAUGGGGGAAACCCUGAUG